This 253-nucleotide ribosomal RNA is filed under the name uncultured bacterium. RNAcentral's name for it is "partial 16S ribosomal RNA". It matches the Rfam family "Bacterial small subunit ribosomal RNA", at positions 524 to 776 of the family's 1533-position model. The record is from RNAcentral.
UACGUAGGGGGCUAGCGUUGUCCGGAAUCAUUGGGCGUAAAGAGCGUGUAGGCGGCCCGGUAAGUCCGCUGUGAAAGUCGGGGGCUCAACCCUCGGAUGCCGGUGGAUACUGUCGGGCUCGAGUACGGAAGAGGCGAGUGGAAUUCCUGGUGUAGCGGUGGAAUGCGCAGAUAUCAGGAGGAACACCAAUAGCGAAGGCAGCUCGCUGGGACGUUACUGACACUGAGGCGCGAAAGCGUGGGGAGCGAACAGG